CCUACGGGUGGCAGCAGUGGGGGAUAUUGCACAAUGGGGGGAACCCUGAUCCAGCGACGCCGCGUGAGUGAAGAAGUCUUUCGGUAUGUAAAGCUCUUUCAGCAGGGAAGAAAGAAAUGACUGUACUUGACCAAGAAGCCCCGGCUAACUACGUGCCAGCAGCCGGGGUACUACGUAGGGGGCAAGCGUUAUCCGGAAUUACUGGGUGUAAAGGUAGCGUAGACGGUUAAGUAAGUCUGGAGUGAAAGGCCGGGGCUCAACCCCGGGACUGCUCUGGAAACUAGUGAGCUUGAGUGCAGGAGAGGGGAGUGGAAUUCCUAGUGUAGCGGUGAAAUGCGUAGAGAUGAGGAGGAACACCAGUGGCGAAGGCGGCCUAUUGGAC
Molecule: ribosomal RNA, 382 nt
Filed under: uncultured bacterium
Lineage: Bacteria
Description: partial 16S ribosomal RNA
Rfam family: Bacterial small subunit ribosomal RNA
Source: RNAcentral